UACGUAGGGGGCAAGCGUUGUCCGGAAUUAUUGGGCGUAAAGAGCGUGUAGGCGGUCCGGUAAGUCAGCUGUGAAAGUCAAGGGCUCAACCCUUGAAUGCCGGUUGAUACUGUCGGGCUAGAGUCCGGAAGAGGCGAGUGGAAUUCCCGGUGUAGCGGUGAAAUGCGCAGAUAUCGGGAGGAACACCAAUGGCGAAGGCAGCUCGCUGGGACGGUACUGACGCUGAGACGCGAAAGCG
This 238-nucleotide ribosomal RNA is filed under the name uncultured bacterium. RNAcentral's name for it is "partial 16S ribosomal RNA". It matches the Rfam family "Bacterial small subunit ribosomal RNA", at positions 524 to 761 of the family's 1533-position model. The record is from RNAcentral.